RNAcentral lists this long non-coding RNA (735 nucleotides) under Rattus norvegicus (Norway rat). RNAcentral's name for it is "long non-coding RNA NONRATT015075". Lineage: Eukaryota; Metazoa; Chordata; Mammalia; Rodentia; Muridae. The record is from RNAcentral.
CCCUUCGCGCUGACCAGUGACUGUAAGAACCGUUCCCUCCCCCGGGGCAUCAUCGGCCGGACCCCAGGGCACCCCACCGCAGCAUGCACUCACGCAGUCACCUGGGGCCAGCCGCAAAAGGUCUCCACUCUCGGGCUAAAUGGGAAGGGCUCUAAGGCCCUUAAGGGUAUUCCUCAUGCGGCUGCCCAAGGGUCCCCAGGUGCCUUGUGAGUACACGGGAUCCUCUGUCCAGUGGAGAGGAUGUGGACUAGUAUCCCUUUAUCGUUCCCAUCAACAAAUAUCCCACUGCCACCACCAUCACAACCACCACCAGAGCAAAUACACAUUGACCCUAUACUCCCCUGCCCCUCUAUGAACACACUGGAGGAUCUUUUUAUGGCUAUUUUACUGUGCCUCGCUGUGCUUGAUCCUAAAAACCUCUUGCAUUUUCAUCCUGAACUGCACUUGCAAGGAAGGGGUUUUGUGAAAACCCAGCCGGAGAGAAAACACAGAAGGGACUCCAUUUCCAGAGACUAGCAUCUGCCUAUUGUCAAAUCUGUUCAGAGGUGUUCUGUUGUAGAAUGAGUUCAGGGUGAGUAGCACAAGAAGAGCUGAAAGGGAGAGGCUUUCAGAGUACAUCUCACCUCACGAGGCUAACAACACAACACAACAACAGCCACAACAAAAACAGGGCACUCUUCAAACGGGUCUGUGAUUUACUGCUUAAAUGCUAAUAGUGCCUUCUGGAAGCAAACA